This 427-nucleotide ribosomal RNA is filed under the name uncultured bacterium. RNAcentral's name for it is "partial 16S ribosomal RNA". It matches the Rfam family "Bacterial small subunit ribosomal RNA", at positions 355 to 774 of the family's 1533-position model. The record is from RNAcentral.
UGGGGAAUAUUGGACAAUGGGCGAAAGCCUGAUCCAGCCAUGCCGCGUGUGUGAAGAAGGUCUUCGGAUUGUAAAGCACUUUAAGUUGGGAGGAAGGGCAUUAACCUAAUACGUUAGUGUUUUGACGUUACCGACAGAAUAAGCACCGGCUAACUCUGUGCCAGCAGCCGCGGUAAUACAGAGGGGGCAAGCGUUAAUCGGAAUUACUGGGCGUAAAGCGCGCGUAGGUGGUUUGUUAAGUUGGAUGUGAAAUCCCCGGGCUCAACCUGGGAACUGCAUUCAAAACUGACUGACUAGAGUAUGGUAGAGGGUGGUGGAAUUUCCUGUGUAGCGGUGAAAUGCGUAGAUAUAGGAAUGAACACCAGUGGCGAAGGCGACCACCUGGACUAAUACUGACACUGAGGUGCGAAAGCGUGGGGAGCAAACA